This is a long non-coding RNA of Thalassophryne amazonica, 272 nucleotides long. RefSeq lists it as uncharacterized. The record is from RefSeq and is a predicted model, not a curated record. Lineage: Eukaryota; Metazoa; Chordata; Actinopteri; Batrachoidiformes; Batrachoididae. The transcript is spliced from 3 exons.
AGACCUCAUCAAAUACAACCAAGAAGGAGGAGGAUCUGCAUGCAAGGCUGACCCCGCUCUCCUCUUGUCGUCUAUCACCAACAAGAUGACAGUGAUAGACAGUGCCAAACCACAGCCAGCCACGAUGACUGAGGUCUCUCCCAUCACGAGCACAAACAUUGAAAUCUACAACAGGUCACGUCACAGUAUGGUAACAGGUCCUUGUAGGAACAGUUUGUCUUUUAUUCACAACCUUUGUAAAGGUCAUGGAAGUUCCCAUGUAAAAUGUCAAA